Molecule: ribosomal RNA, 1354 nt
Filed under: Adscita mauretanica
Lineage: Eukaryota; Metazoa; Arthropoda; Insecta; Lepidoptera; Zygaenidae
Description: 16S ribosomal RNA
Rfam family: Eukaryotic large subunit ribosomal RNA (bases 1075-1233)
Source: RNAcentral
AGGGGGAAAAUUAAUAAUUAUAUAUAUUUAAUAAAAUAAAUUUUAAAAAGAAAAUAUUUAGGGGGGUUUAAGUAUUUUUAAUAGAAAAAAUUUAUAAAUUUAAAGUGGAUUAGUAUUGUGAAAGAAAUUUGAAAUAAUAAUGAAAAUAUAAUUUAAAAUAAAGUAAUUUUAAUUUAAUGUAUCUUGUGUAUCAGAGUUUAUUAAUAAUAAUUUUUAAGAAAAAAUUUCUCGAAUUAAAAAGAGUUAAUUAAUUAAUAAAAUUAUUGUUGCAUAAAUAUUUUUAAUAAUUAAUUUGAAAUGAAAAGUUAUUCGUUUUUUAAUAUAUCUAGUUUUUUUAGAAAAAAAUUUAAUUUUAAAUUAUUUUAUAAAAUAAUUAAUUAUUUAAUUAUUUUAAAAUUUAAUUAAAUAUUUUAAGGGAUAAGCUUUAAAUUAAAAUUUUAUAAAUAAAAUAAAUAAAAUAAAAAUUUUAUAAUUUAUAUUGUUAAUAAAUUUUAGUUUAUUAUAAAUAAUUUUAUUAAAAGAAAAAUUUAAUAUAUUUUAAUUUUUUAUAAAAAUAUAAUUUUUAAUAUAAAAAAUUUAGAAAUAAUGAUAAAAUUAGUAUAUUAAUUUAAUAUAAAAUAUUAAUUUAAAUAUAAUUAAAUAAAAAGAAUUCGGCAAAAAUUCAUAUUCACCUGUUUAUCAAAAACAUGUCUUUUUGAAAAUAAUUUAAAGUCUAAUCUGCCCACUGAUAUUAAAUUAAAGGGCUGCAGUAUAUUGACUGUACAAAGGUAGCAUAAUCAAUAGUCUCUUAAUUAGUGACUUGUAUGAAUGAUUGAAUGAAAUAUUAACUGUUUCUUAUUUAUAAAUUGAAUUUAAUUUUUUAGUUAAAAAGCUAAAAUAAAUUUAAAAGACGAGAAGACCCUAUAGAGUUUUAUAAAUUUAUAAAUUUUAUUUAAAUAUUAGUUUAAUAAUAAAAUUAAUAAAUUUAUUUUGUUGGGGUGAUAAAAAAAUUAAUUAAACUUUUUUAAAAUAUAAACAUAAAUAAGUGAGUAAAAUGAUCCAUAAUUUUUGAUUAAAAGAAAAAAUUACCUUAGGGAUAACAGCGUAAUUUUUUCUUUUAGUUCAAAUAAGAGAAAAAGUUUGCGACCUCGAUGUUGGAUUAAGAUAAAAUUUAAAUGCAAAAGUUUAAAGUUUUGAUCUGUUCGAUCAUUAAAAUCUUACAUGAUCUGAGUUCAAACCGGUGUAAGCCAGGUUGGUUUCUAUCUUUAAAAAAUUAAAAUAUUUUAGUACGAAAGGAUUAAAUAUUUGAAAUAAUUUUAAAAAAAAAAGAAUAUUAUUAAUUUAUUAUUAUAAAAAUUAUAGGGAAUUUUUUUUU